UACGAAGGGGGCUAGCGUUGUUCGGAAUCACUGGGCGUAAAGCGCUCGUAGGCGGAUAUUUAAGUCAGGGGUGAAAGCCUGGAGCUCAACUCCAGAACUGCCUUUGAUACUGGGUAUCUUGAGUCCGGUAGAGGUGAGUGGAACUGCUAGUGUAGAGGUGAAAUUCGUAGAUAUUAGCAAGAACACCAGUGGCGAAGGCGGCUCACUGGACCGGUACUGACGCUGAGGAGCGAAAGCGUGGGGAGCAAACAGG
Molecule: ribosomal RNA, 253 nt
Filed under: uncultured bacterium
Lineage: Bacteria
Description: partial 16S ribosomal RNA
Rfam family: Bacterial small subunit ribosomal RNA
Source: RNAcentral